CCUACGGGGGGCUGCAGUGGGGAAUAUUGGACAAUGGGGGCAACCCUGAUCCAGCCAUGCCGCGUGUGUGAAGAAGGCCCUCGGGUUGUAAAGCACUUUCAGUGAGGAAGAACGCCUGGUGGUUAAUACCCAUCAGGAAAGACAUCACUCACAGAAGAAGCACCGGCUAACUCCGUGCCAGCAGCCGCGGUAAUACGGAGGGUGCGAGCGUUAAUCGGAAUUACUGGGCGUAAAGGGCGCGUAGGUGGCUUGAUAAGCCGGUUGUGAAAGCCCCGGGCUCAACCUGGGAACGGCAUCCGGAACUGUCAAGCUAGAGUGCAGGAGAGGAAGGUAGAAUUCCCGGUGUAGCGGUGAAAUGCGUAGAGAUCGGGAGGAAUACCAGUGGCGAAGGCGGCCUUCUGGACUGACACUGACACUGAGGUGCGAAAGCGUGGGUAGCAAACAGGAUUAGAUACCCCUGUAGUC
Molecule: ribosomal RNA, 465 nt
Filed under: Vreelandella stevensii
Lineage: Bacteria; Pseudomonadati; Pseudomonadota; Gammaproteobacteria; Oceanospirillales; Halomonadaceae
Description: partial 16S ribosomal RNA
Rfam family: Bacterial small subunit ribosomal RNA
Source: RNAcentral